CCUACGGGUGGCUGCAGUGGGGAAUAUUGCACAAUGGGGGAAACCCUGAUGCAGCGACGCCGCGUGAGUGAAGAAGUCUUUCGGUAUGUAAAGCUCUAUCAGCAGGGAAGAAACUUACGGUACUUGCUUAAGAAUCCGCGGCUACCUACGUGCCAGCAGCCGCGGUAAUACUUAGGGGGCAAGCGUUAUCCGGAUGUACUGGGUGGAAAGGGAGCGUAGUAGGCAGGACAAGUCUGGAGUGAAGUGCCGGGGCUUAACCCCGGAACUGCUUUGGAAACUGUGGAGCUAGAGGGCAGGAGAGGUAAGUGGAAUUCCUAGUGUAGCGGUGAAAUGCGUAGAUAUUAGGAGGAACACCAGUGGCGAAGGCGGCUUACUGGACUGUAACUGACGUUGAGGCUCGAAAGCGUGGGGAGCAAACAGGAUUAGAUACCCCAGUAGUC
RNAcentral lists this ribosomal RNA (440 nucleotides) under uncultured bacterium. RNAcentral's name for it is "partial 16S ribosomal RNA". It matches the Rfam family "Bacterial small subunit ribosomal RNA", at positions 338 to 795 of the family's 1533-position model. The record is from RNAcentral.